AGGCUACCGCUAUUGGAGUUCGAUUAAGCCAUGCGAGUCGCGAGUCUUAGGGACUCGGCGUACCGCUCAGUAACACGUGGGUAACCUGCCCUAUGCUGGGGGAUAACCUCGGGAAACUGAGAAUAAUACCCCAUAGUUCACCACGCCUGGAACGGUGGGUGGAUGAAAGCUCCGGCGGCAUAGGAUGGGCCUGCGGCGUAUCAGGUUGUAGGGGGUGUAAUGUACCCUCUAGCCAUCUACGCGUACGGGUGUUGGGAGACAUCGCCCGGAGAUGGAUUCUGAGACACGAAUCCAGACCCUACGGGGUGCAGCAGGCGCGAAAACUUGGCAAUGCGAGAAAUCGUGACCAGGGAACUCCAAGUGCAUGGGGUAAGACCUAUGCUUUUCUAGACUCUAAAAAGGUCUUGGAAUAAGAGGUGGGUAAGGACGGUGCCAGCCGCCGCGGUAAUACCGGCGCCUCAAGUGGUAGUCGCUUUUAUUGGGCCUAAAACGUCCGUAGCCGGUCUGAUACAUUCGUGGGUAAAUCAACCAGCUUAACUGGUUGAAUUCUGCGAGGACGGUCAGACUUGGGACCGGGAGAGGUGUGGGGUACGCUCAGGGUAGGGGUAAAAUCCUGUCAUCCUGAGCGGACCACCUGUUGCGAAGGCGCCACACUAGAACGGAUCCGACGGUCAGGGACGAAGCCUAGGGGCACGAACCGGAUUAGAUACCCGGGUAGUCCUAGGUGUAAACGCUGUGGACUUGAUGUUGGGGGUGCUCCGAGCACUCUCAGUGUCGAAGCGAAGGCGAUAAGUCCACUGCCUGGGAAGUACGGUCGCAAGGCUGAAACUUAAAGGAAUUGGCGGGGGAGCACCGCAACCUGAGGAUUGUGCGGUUU
Molecule: ribosomal RNA, 877 nt
Filed under: uncultured euryarchaeote
Lineage: Archaea; Methanobacteriati; Methanobacteriota
Description: bacterial SSU rRNA
Rfam family: Archaeal small subunit ribosomal RNA
Source: RNAcentral